RNAcentral lists this ribosomal RNA (253 nucleotides) under uncultured bacterium. RNAcentral describes it as "partial 16S ribosomal RNA". It matches the Rfam family "Bacterial small subunit ribosomal RNA", at positions 524 to 776 of the family's 1533-position model. The record is from RNAcentral.
GACGAACCGUGCGAACGUUAUUCGGAAUCACUGGGCUUAAAGGGCGCGUAGGCGGGCUCGCAGGUCAGGGGUGAAAGCCCACGGCUCAACCGUGGAAGUGCCUUUGAUACCGUGAGUCUCGAGGGAGGUAGGGGCGUGCGGAACUUCCGGUGGAGCGGUGAAAUGCGUAGAUAUCGGAAGGAACAUCGGUGGCGAAAGCGGCGCGCUGGACCUCUUCUGACGCUGAGGCGCGAAAGCCAGGGGAGCAAACAGG